Molecule: long non-coding RNA, 457 nt
Organism: Neoarius graeffei (lesser salmon catfish)
Lineage: Eukaryota; Metazoa; Chordata; Actinopteri; Siluriformes; Ariidae
Exons: 3
Source: RefSeq, a predicted model, not a curated record
AUGGAAAAGAAAGAAAUGAAAGAACAGCACAGAGACAAAAGAGAAAAGGAGCUAAAAAUAUCAGUAUUGCCAGUUGUUCAACAGAGGCUGGUGAGAGGCUUCCUCUUAUUGGCUCUUUAAAAACCAGGGCAACGGAGAAAUCAAUCAUCACCAUUCAGGCUGGGAAAAGAAAGCAUGCUCAGUCUCUCAUCUCUACUGCCCUUCAGAACAACUUCAUGGCACCCUGGGAAGGUUCCUCCAACUCUGAGUCCUCUUUUAUCAGCAUUCUUUCCCCUCCAUCUCCUCGACCACCUCCACCGAUCAUGUCAUCUGAGAUUUUUCCAAAUCCACCACAGGCUAUUCGAGACACACACUCCGAGAGUGAACAAAGUGUUCAUGUGAAGCGACGACUCCUCCCUUUGAGAAGACCCUCUAGACCCCAGCGCUUUCCUCCAUUACGCCAAGUUACCAAUCUCAG